Molecule: ribosomal RNA, 491 nt
Filed under: uncultured bacterium
Lineage: Bacteria
Description: bacterial SSU rRNA
Rfam family: Bacterial small subunit ribosomal RNA
Source: RNAcentral
AACUAACGCUGGCGGCGUGCCUAACACAUGCAAGUCGUACGAGAAAGUUGGCUUCGGCUGAUGAGUAAAGUGGCGCACGGGUGAGUAACGCGUGGAUAACUCUGCCUUUUAGUUGGGAAUAACGUACCGAAAGGUGCGCUAAUACCGGAUAAUACUGCAUAACUACUGUUGUGUAGUCAAAGAAGGCCUCUGUUUACAAGCUUUUGCUGAAGAUGAGUCCGCGUACCAUUAGCUAGUUGGUAGGGUAAUGGCCUACCAAGGCUACGAUGGUUAGCUCGGUCUGAGAGGAUGAUCAGCCACACUGGAACUGAGACACGGUCCAGACUCCUACGGGAGGCAGCAGUGAGGAAUAUUGCGCAAUGGGGGCAACCCUGACGCAGCAACGCCGCGUGAGUGAGGAAGGUUUUCGGACCGUAAAGCUCUGUCGAGCGGGAAGAAAUGUAUCGUGGCUAAUAUCCAUGAUAUUGACGGUACCGCUAAGGAAGCACCGG